Molecule: microRNA precursor, 228 nt
Filed under: Medicago truncatula (barrel medic)
Lineage: Eukaryota; Viridiplantae; Streptophyta; Magnoliopsida; Fabales; Fabaceae
Description: MIR2655 microRNA precursor family
Rfam family: MIR2655 microRNA precursor family
Source: Rfam by way of RNAcentral
CCCUUAACUAUUAAACGUUUCGUUUUGGUCCUUUAACUUACUUUUUGGUUUCAUUUUGGUCCCUUAACUCUUCCUCCGUCAACCACUUUGGUCCUUUAUGUUAGGAUGAAUGUAUUAGAGUUAAGGGACCAAAAAAUAAGUUAAGGGACCAAAACGAAACUUUUAAUAGUUAAGGAACCAAAACGAAACCAAAAAAUAAGUUAAGGGACCAAAAGAGUAAUUAAGCCA